UAGGAGGCGUCGAGCGGCGGACGGGUGAGUAAUGCAUAGGAAUCUGCCCGAUAGUGGGGGAUAACCUGGGGAAACUCAGGCUAAUACCGCAUACGUCCUACGGGAGAAAGCAGGGGAUCUUCGGACCUUGCGCUAUCGGAUGAGCCUAUGUCGGAUUAGCUAGUUGGUGAGGUAACGGCUCACCAAGGCGACGAUCCGUAGCUGGUCUGAGAGGAUGAUCAGCCACACUGGGACUGAGACACGGCCCAGACUCCUACGGGAGGCAGCAGUGGGGAAUAUUGGACAAUGGGGGAAACCCUGAUCCAGCCAUGCCGCGUGUGUGAAGAAGGCCUUCGGGUUGUAAAGCACUUUCAGCGAGGAAGAAGGCCUGGGGGCUAAUACCCCUCAGGAAGGACAUCACUCGCAGAAGAAGCACCGGCUAACUCCGUGCCAGCAGCCGCGGUAAUACGGAGGGUGCGAGCGUUAAUCGGAAUUACUGGGCGUAAAGCGCGCGUAGGUGGCUUGAUAAGCCGGUUGUGAAAGCCCCGGGCUCAACCUGGGAACGGCAUCCGGAACUGUCAGGCUAGAGUGCAGGAGAGGAAGGUAGAAUUCCCGGUGUAGCGGUGAAAUGCGUAGAGAUCGGGAGGAAUACCAGUGGCGAAGGCGGCCUUCUGGACUGACACUGACACUGAGGUGCGAAAGCGUGGGUAGCAAACAGGAUUAGAUACCCCUGGUAGUCCACGCCCGUAAACGAUGUCGACUAGCCCGUUGGGGUCCUUGAGACCUUUGUGGCGCAGUUAACGCGAUAAGUCGACCGCCUGGGGAGUACGGCCGCAAGGUUAAAACUCAAAUGAAUUGACGGGGGCCCGCACAAGCGGUGGAGCAUGUGGUUUAAUUCGAUGCAACGCGAAGAACCUUACCUACCCUUGACAUCGUGCGAACUUUCCAGAGAUGGAUUGGUGCCUUCGGGAACGCACAGACAGGUGCUGCAUGGCUGUCGUCAGCUCGUGUUGUGAAAUGUUGGGUUAAGUCCCGUAACGAGCGCAACCCUUGUCCCUAUUUGCCAGCGAUUCGGUCGGGAACUCUAGGGAGACUGCCGGUGACAAACCGGAGGAAGGUGGGGACGACGUCAAGUCAUCAUGGCCCUUACGGGUAGGGCUACACACGUGCUACAAUGGUCGGUACAAAGGGUUGCAAUGCCGCGAGGUGGAGCUAAUCCCAUAAAGCCGGUCUCAGUCCGGAUCGGAGUCUGCAACUCGACUCCGUGAAGUCGGAAUCGCUAGUAAUCGUGAAUCAGAAUGUCACGGUGAAUACGUUCCCGGGCCUUGUACACACCGCCCGUCACACCAUGGGAGUGGACUGCACCAGA
Molecule: ribosomal RNA, 1348 nt
Filed under: uncultured Halomonas sp.
Lineage: Bacteria; Pseudomonadati; Pseudomonadota; Gammaproteobacteria; Oceanospirillales; Halomonadaceae
Description: bacterial SSU rRNA
Rfam family: Bacterial small subunit ribosomal RNA
Source: RNAcentral